Molecule: unclassified non-coding RNA, 3431 nt
Filed under: Helicoverpa zea (corn earworm)
Lineage: Eukaryota; Metazoa; Arthropoda; Insecta; Lepidoptera; Noctuidae
Description: protein lingerer, transcript variant X10
Source: RNAcentral
UUCGUCUUGGCGGUGCAUGAAUCAGAUGACGUGAGCUGUUGAAAUGGCGUGAAAUAGCUGAUGCAUUGGGUUUCCGUCGGUGUUCCGCUGCUUGUAAAUAGAGGCUGUAAAUAUAACGUAUAUAGUUUAAAGAUGAGUUUGGGUGCGCGCGCCACCAAGGGUGGUGCGAAGGGGGGCGCUAAAGACGGCAAGCAUGCACAGGACACUCGGAAGAGCACAGACAAAACCCAGACCAAGGAGAAGGUUAAACCACAGGCUACUACAGAACAGCUCCGGAUGGCACACAUGAUCGAUCGUAAAAGCGAUGACGCGUCUGACGUUCGAAGAAUGGUGCUGGAGUUGAUGGAGAUGACGUGCCGCACCGAGGAGGAGGUGUGCUCGGCGCUGCACGACUCCGACAACGACAUGGUCGCCGCCUGCAACCUGCUGCUGGAGGAGAGCCAGCGGAUACAGGGCGAGUGGCGAACCAGCGAGAAAAAGAAAAAGAAGCCACCAGCCCCCGCUGGCAAUGGUGAAUUAGACCCACCACGGGACCCACGCAGUCGUUCUGGACCCAGGCCACGUCGCGGGUCAGGCGAGCGGGGUGGCGAGCGUGGCGAGCGGGGCGAGGGCGGGUGGCGCGGGCGCGGCGGCACGCGCGGGCGGGGCGGCGCGCGGGGGGCGCGGGGCGGCGGCGCCCGUCGCCCGCGCCCCGAGCGCGCCUGCUGGGCCCACACGCAGCCCGGAGGCGGCAGCAACAACAUCGUCGACACAUUCCCCACCACAGAAGACUGGGACAACGAGGAGUGGUCCGGAUCUCUAUCAGACACCAAGGUGUUGCAGGUGUUCACGCCCAGCUCCGCCGCGCAGCCCGCCGACGCAGCGCCCGACGCGCCGCCCACUCAGGAGUGGGAGGCGACGGAGGCCAACGGUCCGCUGGAGGCGCACAUCCCCACCUACACGUACCACAACUCCGCGCACAUACCCGCGCAUCCCCACCACCCGCUACGGGACCAAAUAAGUUCAGUGAGCCGGCAGUCGCCGGUGUCGGGCGCGGUGGCGGCGCCGGCCGAGCCGCAGCCGCCCGCCGAUACUUACCAUCAUCCGGUUCAUCAUCAGCCAAUGGGCAUGUCUGGAAGUCUGACGGCGGCGCAGUCGCAGUAUCUCUCGCAACUCACACAGCAGUCGCAGAGGCACGACAAUAGCGUGUACACGUCAAAUUACGGCGUGUACGGCAACACAGACAUCACCAGUCAGAGGAAACCGCAGCGAGCGAGAGUUCCUCCUCCCUCUAAGAUCCCGUCUAUGGCGGUGGAGAUGCCGGGAGGCGGCGAGGGUGGCAUGUUCCUGGACGUGCAGUUCGGCGCCCUGGAGCCCGACGCGCUCCGGGACAACUGCACCCCCAAGCCGCAGCAGCAGCCGCCCGCGCCGGCACCGACAGCGGCAGCAGCGCCCGCCGCCGCGCCCGCCUCCCCCGCCGCCGCCACGCCGCCGCACGAGCCGCCCGCCACCCCGCCCGCGCCCCUGCCCUACCAGCCGCCGAGCACUGCCCUGAGUGAGAGUUUAGCAGUAGUGGAGCCGACGCCCGUGAGUGCGCCGGCCGCCGCCGAGCCCGCGGUCACCAACACUACCUCGUCCCUGGAGGCGGCGCUGUCGAGCAUGAAGCAGCUGUCGGUGUCGGACGCGCCGCCGCCGCAGCACCAGCCGCAGCACCACAGGCCCAAGACUGUAGGACAACAGAAUGUGUACGCGCAUCACGCGGUGUCACAUCACCCGCCUGUAUACGGAGCCAAUGUCUAUGCGCCACAGCAGGUGAACUCGAGCAACGCGUCGCUGACGGGCGCGUCGGCCAUGUCGGCGUCCGCCUACCCGUCCAGCGUCACGCUCACGCAGUACCAGCCCAUCAUCAACUCAUACCAGACAUCGUCGUCGGCGGGCCCGUACGGCGGCAGCGCCCUGUACACAGCGGCGCCCUACACUCCCUACCAGCCCACCGCCCAGCCCAAGCAGCCGCCCAAGGAGACGCAGCAGCAACAAUACGACAGUUCAGUGGCGUCGAGUAACAGUUUAACGAGUACGACGACGCAAACGCAGACUUCCACAGCCAAAGUAGCGACUACCACAGUGGCGGGGCACGGGUCCGGGUACGCGGGCGGCGCGCUGUACGGCGCCGCCGCCACGCCGGCCUACGCGCCCUACGACGACCAGCUCAUGCGCUCCACGCUGCCGCACCACAUGGGCGGGUAUUAUGAGGUGGGCUACGGCGGACGGGACGCGACGUUCGGCCUCAGUGCUGGUGAACGAUUCGGAAGGACUGAUGCUGCUUCACCACAACAGGUGCCAGCGGCGGCGUUACCUCCCGGCUACGCGUACUUCGCGUACCAGCCGCCUCCCACCACAUACCAGUAUGGCGUCUAUCCCACGUACGGCGGCGGGUCGAACGUGGGCGGCGUGGGCGGAGUGGGCGGCGUGUCGACGCAGGGCAAGGUGUCCACCUACACGCAGCAGCAGCCCUACGACGCGCAGGACUCAUAUAAACCUGGCGGCGGCUACACGGGCAGCGGCAGCAAGGCGGGCGGCGGCGCGGCGGCGGAGCUCGGCAACGCCAUCUACGCCAAGCCGCAUCCCGCGCUCAACAAGGUCAACCGGUACGCCGCCCCCCUUCGGCGGAGCCUCGCACCUCUACAUCCCCGCGCCGCCGCACCACCACCCGCACCACCACGCGCCGCAGCAGCACCAGAUGGAUGUACGGGUGAACAGUAGUCAUAAUAGGCGGGAGAGCGGGGCGGGCGGCGGUCGGGCGGCAGCCAGCAAGCCGGCGGCCAGCAAGCCUAGCUACUCGCAGUCCUACUGGGCACCCAACUAGCUAACACUGUGCUUGUUACAGGGUCGGGCGCUCGGUGCGGUGCAGCGUGCCCUCUGAAGUAACCUAGCUCAAUACUAAACCAACUCCACGCGACACAAAUACCGCAUUAUUAUAUAAAUUCAUAGUGUAAAGGCAUCGCCGCCGUCACCUAAGAUUUUUUUUUUUCAUUUUUUUUAAAUACUACUGUCGUCGGUAGCCAGAUGUCGUAGUUGAACGAUGCAAUAUAAUUAUGUAUUUUAUUUGUUUAUGAGCGUCGUGACGACGUCGAUGCAUCAUCUCAUUCGUUAAGUCCGCUAUCAUAGGUUUCAAUUGUUUAAAGAAAUUACCUCUAGUGCUAUGUAUAUCUAAUAAAGUAUGUAUAUGUAUGUAAGCAUUUGGUACGCUAUGCGCGCCGAAGUUUUUUAUUUAGUUGACAUACUUUUUGUAAUUAACACUUAUUAUUAAAAAUGAUUAAAGAGAUGUCAUAGGACGAUAAUCGUAAUUGUAACGAGUAUGAUAGUCGAGCUCUUUUAUAUGUGGAAGAAUGCACUUGUGAUGAUCUCGCGGGCAUUUGAAAGUAUGACGGAUUACACAUAUUGGAACUUGA